GACGAACGCUGGCGGCGUGCUUAACACAUGCAAGUCGAACGGAAAGGCCCUGCUUUUGUGGGGUGCUCGAGUGGCGAACGGGUGAGUAAUACGUGAGUAACCUGCCCUUGACUUUGGGAUAACUUCAGGAAACUGGGGCUAAUACCGGAUAGGAGCUCCUGCUGCAUGGUGGGGGUUGGAAAGUUUCGGCGGUUGGGGAUGGACUCGCGGCUUAUCAGCUUGUUGGUGGGGUAGUGGCUUACCAAGGCUUUGACGGGUAGCCGGCCUGAGAGGGUGACCGGCCACAUUGGGACUGAGAUAAGGCCCAGACUCCUACGGGAGGCAGCAGUGGGGAAUAUUGCACAAUGGGCGGAAGCCUGAUGCAGCAACGCCGCGUGCGGGAUGACGGCCUUCGGGUUGUAAACCGCUUUCGCCUGUGACGAAGCGUGAGUGACGGUAAUGGGUAAAGAAGCACCGGCUAACUACGUG
This 468-nucleotide ribosomal RNA is filed under the name uncultured bacterium. RNAcentral describes it as "partial 16S ribosomal RNA". It matches the Rfam family "Bacterial small subunit ribosomal RNA", at positions 28 to 507 of the family's 1533-position model. The record is from RNAcentral.